This is a long non-coding RNA of Gigantopelta aegis, 731 nucleotides long. RefSeq lists it as uncharacterized. The transcript has 3 exons. Lineage: Eukaryota; Metazoa; Mollusca; Gastropoda; Neomphalida; Peltospiridae. The record is from RefSeq and is a predicted model, not a curated record.
GGAACGUUUAGGUUCAAACUUGGAUGGCUGCAUGUUUUUCCACUUGUUUGGCUUCAUCUGGCUGUAGAACGUAAUGAUGCUGCAGGAAAUGGUCGACUCAGAUUCCUGCUGUUCUGUGCACACCAAAGUUGAGUCAUACGUAUCAAGGUCAGAUCGCGGCGCUGUCAUCGUUACAUCACAACUAACACAGCUCGCCUACAGGCGCGCGAAACGGCCAGUAUAGCGCAGUCGGGAUAAUGAUUACUUUAAAACUAUUUCAUUUGGAUAAUGACAACGACGCUGUUUUAAAUACCGAUUUGUUAUUAUUCUCGGCUUCGGGGAACAACCUUCACCUCAUUUGCCAAUAAACAGUUAAUUUGAAUAUUGAUUGCCAACUGCCCUUUGAGAUUUUAGCAUGACACGAUUUGUGCGCGUGGUGUGUGUGUUUCUGAAGAGUAAAUAACAAAACCUGGAUGAAAUAAAUAGAAAUAGCGCCAAAUUUGAUAACAAACGGCUAAUUUUAAUAUUGACUGCAAAUUAAGUGUUAUGGUUUGAUAUCACGAUUUCUGCACGUGGUCUUCACAAGACGAACGAAGUUCCAAGCCUGAUAAUAUACAAAUGAAUUUAAGGAAAGCUUUUAUUAUUUCCAUAUUUAUAUUAAUAGCGUCAGUAUAAAUGUUGUGUUAGUACACAUUGUGUAUAUUUAAAAACAAGUUAUUGUUGUAUUUAAAUCUAAAUAUUGUAUUUGUUAA